Molecule: small RNA, 1323 nt
Filed under: Cryptococcus neoformans H99
Lineage: Eukaryota; Fungi; Basidiomycota; Tremellomycetes; Tremellales; Cryptococcaceae
Description: Cryptococcus neoformans var. grubii H99 hypothetical RNA
Source: RNAcentral
CUCAUCAGUACCAUCUUCCUUUUCUUUCUUCAUGCUGCAGCUGCUGUAUCUGAUAUCGCCCAAGAAAAUGUAUGUUUCAGCGCAAUAUGCAUAGGAGAGGCCAUAAACACAAGCGUUCUUAUGCCUAUAGCCCUUGUCCUUGUGGCUACGAAGGGAAGAGUCAUUCUUCAGCAGGUUGUUGACAUGCCUGCUCUUCAUCUCUCAGAGUCUAGCCUGUAGAUCUUCUUCAUCUAUUCCAUUAGCUGCCACUCCCAUCGGCUUCUUCCCUGGCUCUCUGGCUUUGAAUACUCCUUCUUGACAUGUCACGGCCAGCAAUUUCCCCUUUGCGCUGUAUACUCUUCCCCUUGCCACGGCUCUCCCACUUGACAUGUCGGCCACUUGCGAUUCCAUGACAUGCAAUACGGGCUCUUGAUAAUCGAGAUCUGGUGGUAAUGGGUAGAAGUGGAUUGAGUGGUCUAAGGAGGCAAUCAAGCCUAUUUGAGGAGUAGACGACAUGUUGAGACCGAUAGAGCGCGUUGCGGCACCCACUAGUUGAUAAUCGGUUAGGAUCUAUGCGUGGUCGAUACCACAUCAUUCGGGUGGUGGGCAAACCAUUGACGUAAUACUCUUUUGAAGAUGGUACUCCCGGAAUCUUCCUGGCAACCGAAGUGAAAAAGGCGGCUGAACCUCUUUUCUAUGCUGUUCUUAGCAUUGGUUUCAAUUAGAGGGAUGUUACCACUGCUCACCUUUGACCAGUCAUCGAGAUAUCCCCAUUUCCAUCCUAAUUCUUCUUUACUUUUUUCCUGCACUAGUCUUUGAAGAAAGACUUCGUUAUCUUCGCAUUGAUCCCACGGCCUUAGUUCCUUUGGAAAGGGAGCUUGAAAACUCUCCUUGACCUCGAAGCCUUCCCCAUUCUUCUGUGUAGGAUCUUCAUCCCAAGGCUGAACCAUUGCUGUCAGACUGUGCGAGACUCUGACAGGCGUAUGACCUUGGGACGAGACUGAGAACCGCUCAUAUGGUGAUUGGUAGCUAGCGAAGAGGAUAAAGAAUAUUCUCCCAUUCUGCCAUCCUCUCACUUCCCUUCGGAUAUACCUGUUCCCCUCAAAGUAGCAAUGAAUGCUAUGCAAGCCAAAUGGAGGUUCAACAGUCAAAAGCGAUGAACAAAGAGCUUGCGAAAUGACGAGACCCCCGUAGAUUGACCUGGCUCCUGGAGGUAUCCAGGUGUCAUGAGGGAUGAAGGUAAAUGGCUUGUUGGGGUGGGGAGAGACGCUUAUGCGCGAAACUAAAGACAUUCCCAUAAGUCGAGCAAAAUUCUGUCAAGAAAUGAAAGAAGCUUCAGUCAAG